CUCCAGCAGGUUGCAAGUGGUCCCAGGUGAUGAGAGCAAAGAAAACUUGGUCUUUUUAGGAUGCCUCAGUCAUAUGGUUCAGAGAGAUGUUCAGAAGAGGGGUGAAGCAGACAGGCACUACAGAGGGCAGCACUGGGAGAUGCCCAUUGCAGAGCUGGACAACUGGCUGCAGAACAGGACAGUGGCUCUCUCCUCAAACCAGAAGACCUUACAAAGGCACAGGGACCAAAUUGAAAAGGUUCCUGAGACAAACAGUGCUAUGCAAAGUCCAUGGCCUUCAGUGAAACAUGAAGAAAUUUCUGCAUCAGCCACUGAAGGAAAAACAUGGAGAAGGUGUCCUUGAAAAAUAAAAUUUGGGAAGAACAAAGGAAAGAUAGGGGAUUUUGUCCAUGCCAAACAAGACAAAGCUGAGAAGAAGAGUUUCAGUCACAAGCAUAUGGUUAAAUAAACUUAUCUUGCAAGUAUCUGUCAGGAGAUGCUAGCUUGGCACCUGCAUGCAGAUCUUGUUUGCUGGGCAGAACAAAAACUAUACAAAG
Molecule: long non-coding RNA, 536 nt
Organism: Lagopus muta (rock ptarmigan)
Lineage: Eukaryota; Metazoa; Chordata; Aves; Galliformes; Phasianidae
Exons: 3
Source: RefSeq, a predicted model, not a curated record